Molecule: ribosomal RNA, 373 nt
Filed under: uncultured eukaryote
Lineage: Eukaryota
Description: partial 18S ribosomal RNA
Rfam family: Eukaryotic small subunit ribosomal RNA
Source: RNAcentral
CAAUAGCGUAUAUUUAAGUUGCUGCAGUUAAAAAGCUCGUAGUUGGAUUUCGGUUGAGAACGGCCGGUCCGCCGUUUGGUGUGCACUGGCUGGUUUCAACUUCCUGUAGAGGACGCGCUCUGGCUUCACGGCUGGACGCGGAGUCUACGUGGUUACUUUGAAAAAAUUAGAGUGUUCAAAGCGGGCUUACGCUUGAAUAUUUCAGCAUGGAAUAACACUAUAGGACUCCUGUCCUAUUUCGUUGGUCUCGGGACGGGAGUAAUGAUUAAGAGGAACAGUUGGGGGCAUUCGUAUUUCAUUGUCAGAGGUGAAAUUCUUGGAUUUAUGAAAGACGAACUUCUGCGAAAGCAUUUGCCAAGGAUGUUUUCAUUAA